RNAcentral lists this long non-coding RNA (990 nucleotides) under Fukomys damarensis (Damara mole-rat). Its description in RNAcentral is "lncRNA (ENSFDAG00000026596.1)". Lineage: Eukaryota; Metazoa; Chordata; Mammalia; Rodentia; Bathyergidae. The record is from RNAcentral.
GUACUAAUUUAAGAAGUUUCCCAAGUAGCUAGAUGGUGAGACUCUUCCAGGUCGCAGGGGUGGAAAUGGGGAGUGAGAAGAAGCAAUAAAGCUGAGCAGGUGCACACACUGGCAAGAGAGCUCUACUGGAGUCUUUGUAGUCAAUAGACCUGUUUGUUGAAGAAUUACUACCCUAAACUUGCAUGUUAAGCAGAAGAACUCCCAUUCAGAUGGUCACGGAUGAGGUGAAACAGGAAGAUGAUGAAGAAGAAAGGCUACCUCAAGGAAGGGACCAGACUAGAUAUACUCUCCAACAUCAUGCUUCCUAACUCACAUCCUUCAAGUCGGCCUCAUUUACUUUUCUCUAGUUGUUUUUCAGUUUAUUUCACUAAGAAAGGAAUUUACAAUAUUUACAUUUCCUGUCCUCAAAAGAAAGUCACUCUUACUGUGUACUUACAGACUGUGAAAGUAACCCAGAGUUAGAUAAAUGCUGAAUGAGAAAAGAAUUUGCAUUGGCUAGAGCCAGACAUUCAGCAUGGACUCAGAAAUGGGACUAAGGCAGAGAAACCUAGCACAAGUAGAACAAUUCACAUCAGCAAAUCUCUGCUUUGACAUCAAAGGAAAUUAUGUAGAGAAAGAGCAGAGGGUGUCUAAUGGGCAGCAGAGACCACCAGCGAAGAACAGCUGUCUUAUGAAACAGCAGGGAGGAGCGUUUCAGGAAGGACAAGAGGAACCCCAAAUAGAGGUCUGUAACAUGAAAAGGAUGUAUUUCUGUAGGGCAAAGGCAAAAUGAUUGUGAACUUCUGAAAGUAGUCUGUAAAAUGUAAAUGGGAAAACAGUUGAAAUAUAAACCAAACAGAAAUGUUCAAAGACAAUGCAAAUGAAAUUUAGAGUGAUAUUUAACUUGACUAUUUCUAAACAAACAUACAUAAUUAUUCAAAUGAAAGUUAAAAAGCACCAGAUACCAGUAUUUUCUUUAGGUAACAUUUUCAUGGAUAUUUGUAAGCAGCA